AUCUUUGCGCUUGGGGCAAUGACGCAGUUCAUGAGGUGAAACCGCGUCAAUUGCUGGUUGAAAACUAUUUCCAUAAACCCAAAAUGUUCUGUGGAUUGAAUUUAAGUAAAAUGCGUGCUU
This 120-nucleotide small nuclear RNA is filed under the name Marchantia polymorpha subsp. ruderalis. Its description in RNAcentral is "U4 spliceosomal RNA". It matches the Rfam family "U4 spliceosomal RNA". Rfam says of the family: U4 small nuclear RNA (U4 snRNA) is a component of the major U2-dependent spliceosome. The structure of U4 snRNA from yeast and human has been reported. U4 snRNA presents a k-turn RNA motif in the 5p-SL related to recognition of Snu13 protein. The record is from Rfam by way of RNAcentral. Lineage: Eukaryota; Viridiplantae; Streptophyta; Marchantiopsida; Marchantiales; Marchantiaceae.